Molecule: ribosomal RNA, 68 nt
Filed under: Serratia marcescens
Lineage: Bacteria; Pseudomonadati; Pseudomonadota; Gammaproteobacteria; Enterobacterales; Yersiniaceae
Also listed under: 5 other names
Source: RNAcentral
CCUGGCGGCAAUAGCGCGGUGGUCCCACCUGACCCCAUGCCGAACUCAGAAGUGAAACGCCGUAGCGC